UAAUAAUACGGAAGUUCUUAUUCGCGCUUGGAAUGUCGCUCGAUUCUGCACGCCCGACGGCUGACGACCGCGCAGCGCAACGGCGACUUGGACACGUAUGCAUGGUAUUGAAAGCGUUGGUUUUUGAAUUAUGACCUUGAAGAUUCAAUUGGUUGUGAUGGUGAUGCUAGCGCCGCGCGUAGUGGUUGUUGGAAGUAGUGAAAAACGUGGUGAGGUGGUGAUGAGUGCACAUGGGGGUUGCUGCUUGCUGGGAGGUGAUAGUACAAGACAUGAAAUUUUAACUCGUACAAAUUCGCAAAUUAACUAUCGGCAAUGUCAGGCUUCCAAGUGGAAUGGGCCUGAUUCGAUCCUGAAUAAUUGAUUGCCCCGGCGGAAUUUCGAGCAUGGCAUAAUUAAUUCACACGCACGCCGCAUCCACAUGAGCACCAAAACCAACAUGGCGGCCGGUAACGCACAGCCGCAUAAUAAACGACCGGUCAUUUUGAUUUACCCAACAGUCGCACCGGAAACAGUAGUGGUACCAAUAAUCUCCUGCAUCUUGGGCUUUCCACUGCUGGCGCUCUUGGUGAUUUGCUGUCUGCGCAGGCGCGCGAAGCUUGCGCGUGAACAAGCGCGUCGACGAAACUACGACUACGAUCACGGUACUUUCUCUAUUGUCAGAUACAGCCCGGUACACUUAUUAGGCCGAUCAAGAGCUGUUUCUCUACGUUCCGAACGCGGUAUGAGCCGUGGCUUCCCCUCGAUGGAACUGGACACAGUUGUAGAAGAGCGUUCGGAUCCGGAACCGGAAGCCACAGUCGUCGAAAUGAUUACACCGGAUCGCGAGUCCCAUGACAGCUAGCAUACGGCCAGGGGUGUCUCCAUCGUGGACAGUUCGGCUAUGCACGUAUGACGAGGACCCAUUCCUAGAUCACCUCUGUGGACGACCCUCACACACGCUAGAAAUUUGGUCAUUGAUAUCGAACGGGAUAGCUGACCCGAGGAGCGCCGUGCAAACGGCAAACUUCUUCCCGGCGUGGAAAACACGCACCCGUACUAUCACAAACCGGAAAACACCGAUGAUGAUGAUGACGAUGACGAUGAUGAUGAUUUGAAUGAUAUACAAGAUGGCGACUAUGAUGACGAUGACGAUGGUGAUGAUCAAAAUGGCAGCGGCGAGGAGGAACCGCACAACCCCGAUCCGGUGAUACCGCAUAUCAUCCCUCUGCCAUUCAUUAGAGGCCAUUAAAUUCCACCCUCUGCGACCCGAUAAUACCACUUCCACCACCUUCAGUUUAAGUUUACGGUGCGGGCAACUUAAUUGCGAAUUAAGCGAUUAUAGAAGUGCGAAUUCACGAAUUCACGAUUGUAGUUGUGAAGAGUUGUAAAGGUAAGAAGAGGGUUGAGGGGUGGAAUAGCAAGGGGUAGUUUUGAAUUAUUCCAAGUUUACUAAUGGAUUUAAUUAAUUCAGUCGAAAGUGGGUCAUUGCGACAUAUCACAACAAAUGGUGGCCAAAAUACUAAUUAAUUAGUUAUUACCAAUUAUAUUGCUGUAGAAUUAAAUAAUUAUACAGUGUGUUCACGUAAAAGUUUAAAAUAUUAAAAUAAUCCACAGAGCCAAUGGAUUAUUUAAUAAUUUCAUGAGAUGUGAUUUUAUUUGAACACAUUUGUAUGUAUUUUUUAUAAAUUAAUGUAACAUAUGUACAUACCUAACACCUAACAUGUAAUCGCCUGUAAAAUACUAAAUAUUAUUGUUAAUGAAUAUAAAUUAGACGUAGAUUGAUAUUAA
Molecule: RNA transcript, 1767 nt
Organism: Dalotia coriaria
Lineage: Eukaryota; Metazoa; Arthropoda; Insecta; Coleoptera; Staphylinidae
Exons: 8
Source: RefSeq, a predicted model, not a curated record